CUGUUUUAUCAUAUACUUAGCAUUGAUAUGAUAGCUUUUGCAUAUGUGUAAUGAGCGGAAGUACACAAGCCAUAAUUUCCCACCCGGGCUGAUAACCCAUAUCAUGUGCAUCUCGUGCACAAAACCCAUAAUAGUGCCUCUCGUGCAAGUUACUUCCGGUGUUUCCGGUAUCGGUUGUUUACUUUUCCAUUGUGACGUCAGAUGUUUUUUAUGACGACGUCAAAAUU
RNAcentral lists this long non-coding RNA (227 nucleotides) under Mytilus galloprovincialis (Mediterranean mussel). The record is from RNAcentral. Lineage: Eukaryota; Metazoa; Mollusca; Bivalvia; Mytilida; Mytilidae.